This 477-nucleotide ribosomal RNA is filed under the name uncultured bacterium. RNAcentral describes it as "partial 16S ribosomal RNA". It matches the Rfam family "Bacterial small subunit ribosomal RNA", at positions 28 to 507 of the family's 1533-position model. The record is from RNAcentral.
GAUUAACGCUGGCGGCGUGCAUAACACAUGCAAGUCGAACGAUGAAACUUUACUGACUCCUUGGGGGAGAAUCAAAGCGGAUUAGUGGCGAACGGGAGAGUAAUGCGUGAGUAGCAUGACUUACACAAGGGGAUAGUAUUAGGACAUGAAGAAUAAUACCCUAUAAAACCAUUCAAGCAAAUGCAAUCAAGGUCAAAGUGAUAGCGGUGUAAGAGGGACUUGCGGCUGAUUAGCUAGGAGGUGAGAUAAAAGGCCACUAAGGCAACGAUCAGUAGCCGGCUUGAGAGAGUGUACGGCCACAUUGGGACUGGGACACGUCCCAGACUCUGACGGGAGGCAGCAGUGGGGAAUCUUGCACAAUGGGGGUAACCCUGAUGCAGCGGCGCCGCGUGAUUUAGAAGGCCGUCAGGUUGUAAAAUUCUUUUAUAUAGGAAUAAAAUGACAUUACUAUACGAAUAAGGACCGGCUAAUUACGUG